GACUCCCCGACGCAGAAGCUAAACGAGCAGAGCCGAUCAACCGAUGAUAUCGAUGAAGACCUCCACAGCCGGCAGCUCGCGGUGUACGGCCGCGAGACCAUGCGACGGCUCUUUGCCUCCAACGUCCUCGUCUCGGGUCUCAAUGGACUCGGUGUCGAAAUAGCGAAGAAUCUUGUUCUUGCCGGUGUGAAAUCGGUCACCCUGCAUGAUCAGGCGACUGUGAGUCUUUGGGAUUUGUCUAGCAAUUUCU
Molecule: unclassified non-coding RNA, 250 nt
Filed under: Hevea brasiliensis (rubber tree)
Lineage: Eukaryota; Viridiplantae; Streptophyta; Magnoliopsida; Malpighiales; Euphorbiaceae
Source: RNAcentral